UUUGUGAACCGAAUUUCGGCCGAAAUUCGUCAUUAGGUUGACGAGCGAGUUAUCAUACAUGUCACGCCCAGAUCCCUUGCGGGGUAGAACGUUCAUAAAAAAUAAAUAUGUUCAUUUACAUAAUUUGAUUAUAGGUUUAGUUAGGUGAAAUGUAUUAUGGAGUUAUUUAUGUGUUAAUUAUGUAAAUGUGUUAAGGAAUUAUUUUUUCUUGAGUAGGUACUCAAAGUCAAUGGCAUUAUUUAAAUAAAACUCAGAAUUACUACCACCACGAGAUAUUAGUGACUCGCAUACAAACUACAUUUUACUUUGUUUGGUUCAUUUACUUCUAAAAAGAAAGUCCAAACACCUGAUAUUUUUCACCCAGUCAUUGUUCUUACAUGCAGCACUUACAUACAGCACUGUUUUAAUAACUUUUUGAGUAUUUUAACUAUUUCACUCGUGUCACGGAUGACGCAAUAAUGAGCGGCAGGCCAGCUCGGUGACGUGGGGGCUACUGCAAGCGAUCGCGUAAACAAUUCGUAACGUGAAACAUUGAAGAAAAGGCGGGAAUAUCAACCGAACUUCAUUCGGCGUUGUCUUAAACCGAAUGUUCGGCCGAAGUUCGAAUUCGGUUCAAUCCACAUUCGGCCCAUCACUAAUCUGAAAACUGUAUAUUUGAUCAAUUCAUGAAGGUCGGUGGAAGGAGUCGACAGCAUUCUUAGGCCCAACUUACUACUUAGUAGUAAAAAUGAUGCAAAUGUUUUGACUUUGAGUAGCAACUCUUAGAAAACUGUAUAUUUGAUCGAUUCAUGAAGGUUGUUGGAAGGAGUCGACAGCAUUCUUAGGCCAAACUUACUACUUCGGGAUAAAAUUUAUGCAAAUGUAUUGACUUUGAGUAGCAACGCUUAGAAAACUGUAUAUUUGAUCGAUUCAUGAAGGUUGUUGGAAGGAGUCGACAGCAUUCUUAGGCGAAACUUACUACUUUAGGGAAAACUUUAUGCAAAUGUAUUGACUAUGAGUGGCAACGCUUAGAAAACUGUAUAUUUGACCGAUUCAUGAAGGUUGUUGGAAGGAGUCGACAGCAUUCUUAGGCGAAACUUACUACUUUGGGGAAAAAUUUAUGCAAAUGUAAUGACUAUGAGUGGCAACGCUUAGAAAACUGUAUAUUUGACCGAUUCAUGAAGGUUGGUGAAAGGAGUCGACAGCAUUCUUAGGCGAAACUUACUACUUUAGGGAAAACUUUAUGCAAAUGUAUUGACUAUGAGUGGCAACGCUUAGAAAACUGUAUAUUUGACCGAUUCAUGAAGGUUGGUGAAAGGAGUCGACAGCAUUCUUUGGCGAAACUUAGUACUUUGGGGAAAACUUUAUGCAAAUGUAUUGACUAUGAGUGGCAACGCUUAGAAAACUGUAUAUUUGAUCGAUUCAUGAAGGUUGUUGGAAGGAGUCGACAGCAUUCUUAGGCGAAACUUACUACUUUGGGGAAAACUUUAUGCAGAUGUAUUGACUAUGAGUGGCAACGCUUAGAAAACUGUAUAUUUGAUCGAUUCAUGAAGGUUGUUGGAAGGAGUCGACAGCAUUCUUAGGCGAAACUUACUACUUUGGGGAAAAAUUUAUACAAAUGUAAUGACUAUGAGUGGCAACGCUUAGAAAACUGUAUAUUUGACCGAUUCAUGAAGGUUGGUGAAAGGAGUCGACAGCAUUCUUAGGCGAAACUUACUACUUUAGGGAAAACUUUAUGCAAAUGUAUUGACUAUGAGUGGCAACGCUUAGAAAACUGUAUAUUUGAUCGAUUCAUGAAGGUUGUUGGAAGGAGUCGACAGCAUUCUUAGGCGAAACUUACUACUUUAGGGAAAACUUUAAGCAAAUGUAUUGACUAUGAGUGGCAACGCUUAGAAAACUGUAUAUUUGACCGAUUCAUGAAGGUUGGUGAAAGGAGUCGACAGCUUUCUUUGGCGAAACUUAGUACUUUGGGGAAAACUUUAUGCAGAUGUAUUGACUAUGAGUGGCAACGCUUAGAAAACUGUAUAUUUGAUCGAUUCAUGAAGGUUUUUGGAAGGAGUCGACAGCAUUCUUAGGCGAAACUUACUACUUUGGGGAAAACUUUAUGCAGAUGUAUUGACUAUGAGUGGCAACGCUUAGAAAACUGUAUAUUUGACCGAUUCAUGAAGGUUGGUGAAAGGAGUCGACAGCAUUCUUAGGCGAAACUUACUACUUUAGGGAAAACUUUAUGCAAAUGUAUUGACUAUGAGUGGCAACGCUUAGAAAACUGUAUAUUUGAUCGAUUCAUGAAGGUUGGUCGAAGGUUGGAUGGUUGGCAUUAUUUUAAUAAAACUCAGAAUUACUACCAC
Molecule: long non-coding RNA, 2327 nt
Organism: Pectinophora gossypiella (pink bollworm)
Lineage: Eukaryota; Metazoa; Arthropoda; Insecta; Lepidoptera; Gelechiidae
Exons: 5
Source: RefSeq, a predicted model, not a curated record